AGCGAACGCUGGCGGCAGGCUUAACACAUGCAAGUCGAGCGGGCAUCUUCGGAUGUCAGCGGCAGCCGGGUGGGUAACACGUGGGAACGUACCCUUCGGUUCGGCACAACUCUGGGAAACUGGAGCUAAUACCGGAUGCGCCCUUAUGGGGAAAGGUUUAUGGCCGAAGGGUCGGCCCGCGUCUGCUUGGCUAGUGGGUGGGGUAACGGCCUACCAAGGCGACGGGCAGUGGCUGGUCUGAGAGGAUGAUCAGCCACACUGGGACUUAGGCACGGCCCCGACUCCUACGGGAGGGAGCAGAGGGGAAUAUUAUACAAGGAGCGCAAGCCUGAUCCAGCCAUGCCGCGGGAGUGAUGAAGGCCUUAGGGUUGUAAAGCUCUUUUGUCCGGGACGAUAAUGACGGUACCGGAAGAAUAAGCCCCGGCUAACUUCGUG
This 435-nucleotide ribosomal RNA is filed under the name uncultured bacterium. Its description in RNAcentral is "partial 16S ribosomal RNA". It matches the Rfam family "Bacterial small subunit ribosomal RNA", at positions 28 to 507 of the family's 1533-position model. The record is from RNAcentral.